CGGAGGGUGCAAGCGUUAUCCGGAUUCACUGGGUUUAAAGGGUGCGUAGGCGGGUAAGUAAGUCAGUGGUGAAAUCUCCGGGCUUAACUCGGAAACUGCCGUUGAUACUAUUUAUCUUGAAUAUCAUGGAGGUAAGCGGAAUAUGUCAUGUAGCGGUGAAAUGCUUAGAUAUGACAUAGAACACCGAUAGCGAAGGCAGCUUACUACAUGUUAAUUGACGCUGAGGCACGAAAGCGUGGGGAGCAAACAGGAUUAGAUACCCUGGUAGUCCACGCCCUAAACGAUGGAUACUCGACAUCAGCGAUACACUGUUGGUGUCUGAGCGAAAGCAUUAAGUAUCCCACCUGGGAAGUACGACCGCAAGGUUG
Molecule: ribosomal RNA, 368 nt
Filed under: uncultured organism
Description: bacterial SSU rRNA
Rfam family: Bacterial small subunit ribosomal RNA
Source: RNAcentral